Molecule: ribosomal RNA, 569 nt
Filed under: Ingerana sp. SB-2016
Lineage: Eukaryota; Metazoa; Chordata; Amphibia; Anura; Dicroglossidae
Description: partial 16S ribosomal RNA
Rfam family: Bacterial large subunit ribosomal RNA
Source: RNAcentral
CCCCGGUUAUUAAGAGGUCCAGCCUGCCCAGUGAAUUAUUCAACGGCCGCGGUACCCUGACCGUGCAAAGGUAGCAUAAUAACUUGUCCCUUAAAUAGGGACUAGUAUCAACGGCACCACGAGGGUUGCACUGUCUCCCCCCUCCUUCAGUGAAACUGACCUCCCUGUGAAAAGGCAGGGAUAUAAUUAUAAGACGAGAAGACCCCAUGGAGCUUCAAACUCAAUAUGCACCCCUAAACAACUAUCCCUUAUAACCUCGGACCCUGUUUACUAUUUUUAGGUUGGGGCAACCACGGGGUAAAACACAACCCCCGCGCCAAAUGGAAUUUUUCUUAUUAAACAACAACAUUUCUUAAAAUUGGUAAACCAACGCAUCUGACCCAAAAAGAUCAACGAACCAAGUUACCCUGGGGAUAACAGCGCCAUCCAUCUUAAGAGUCCUUAUCGACAGAUGGGCUUACGACCUCGAUGUUGGAUCAGGGUACCCCAGUGGUGCAUCCGCUACUAAAGGUUCGUUUGUUCAACGAUUAAAACCCUACGUGAUCUGAUUCAAACCGGAUCAAACCGGA